Molecule: ribosomal RNA, 227 nt
Filed under: uncultured bacterium
Lineage: Bacteria
Description: partial 16S ribosomal RNA
Rfam family: Bacterial small subunit ribosomal RNA
Source: RNAcentral
UGAGUAACACGUAUCCAGCCUGCCGUCUACUCUUGGGCAGCCUUCUGAAAGGAAGAUUAAUACAAGAUGGCAUCAUGAGUUCACAUGUUCACAUGAUUAAAGGUAUUCCGGUAGACGAUGGGGAUGCGUUCCAUUAGAUAGUAGGCGGGGUAACGGCCCACCUAGUCUUCGAUGGAUAGGGGUUCUGAGAGGAAGGUCCCCCACAUUGGAACUGAGACACGGUCCAA